This 301-nucleotide ribosomal RNA is filed under the name uncultured bacterium. RNAcentral's name for it is "partial 16S ribosomal RNA". It matches the Rfam family "Bacterial small subunit ribosomal RNA", at positions 509 to 807 of the family's 1533-position model. The record is from RNAcentral.
CAGUCGCCACGGGAAUACGUAGGUGGCAAACGUUAUCCGGAAUUAUUGGGCGUAAAGCGCGCGUAGGUGGUUUUUUAAGUCUGAUGUGAAAGCCCACGGCUCAACCGUGGAGGGUCAUUGGAAACUGGAAAACUUGAGUGCAGAAGAGGAAAGUGGAACUCCAUGUGUAGCGGUGAAAUGCGCAGAGAUAUGGAGGAACACCAGUGGCGAAGGCGACUUUCUGGUCUGUAACUGACGCUGAUGUGCGAAAGCGUGGGGAUCAAACAGGAUUAGAGACCCCUGUAGUCCCUGUCUCUUAUAC